Small nucleolar RNA from Cavia aperea (Brazilian guinea pig), 73 nucleotides. Its record names the gene SNORD63. It matches the Rfam family "Small nucleolar RNA SNORD63". Rfam says of the family: snoRNA U63 is found in both humans and mice. U63 is a member of the C/D class of snoRNA which contain C (UGAUGA) and D (CUGA) box motifs. Most of the members of the box C/D family function in directing site-specific 2'-O-methylation of substrate RNAs. The record is from Ensembl. Lineage: Eukaryota; Metazoa; Chordata; Mammalia; Rodentia; Caviidae.
GUGCAGUGAUGCAUUUUAUUCAACACAUCAUUCUCAAAGUACAGAAGUGUGGAAAACUUAAUGACUGAGCACA